This is a small nuclear RNA of Vulpes vulpes (red fox), 106 nucleotides long. The record is from Ensembl. Lineage: Eukaryota; Metazoa; Chordata; Mammalia; Carnivora; Canidae.
AUACUCACUUUGGCAGCACUUACACUAAAAUUGAAUGGUACAGAAGAAAUUAGCAUGGCCCAUGUGCAAAGAUGACAUGAGAAUUCAUGAUAUGUUCUAUAUUUUU